AUUUAGUGGUUUCUAUUUGUCAGAAAAUGUCACUACGUUUUCACUUGGGGUUCCUAAUUAAACCACCACCAACACCACAUUGCCAUGGAAAACAGGUUAACUCACUUGGAUUGUCACCGAUUUUUUGGAAAUGGAGGGGGUAAGGCCAUGGAAUGAUCCCGGUGCUGUCCCGAGAAGUACCCUAAUUGGUAGAUAAAGUCAUCGCGUUUUCAUAUGGGAUUCUCAUAACAGGCUAUAACGCAAACUUACAUUUUUUUAGAUGGUAAUCAUAGUUGGCGGUGACAUUUUUAAAAAGUGCAUUUUUUUCUGUUUACAAUGGUAUAAGGUUCAUUGUACUUACUUAGACAAUAAACAUGAUAAAGAACUUUUUGUAUUAUUAAGAGUAGUAAGAACAGAUUUUGCCAUGGGAAACAUUUUUGUUCUCUUAAUUACUGUCUAUUAUAAUAUUUAACUUGCAGUUAGUUGUG
Molecule: long non-coding RNA, 467 nt
Organism: Photinus pyralis (common eastern firefly)
Lineage: Eukaryota; Metazoa; Arthropoda; Insecta; Coleoptera; Lampyridae
Exons: 3
Source: RefSeq, a predicted model, not a curated record